CCACCUGAUCCCAUGCCGAACUCAGAAGUGAAACGCAGUAGCGCCGAUGGUAGUGUGGGGUUUCCCCAUGUGAGAGUAGGUCACCGCCAAGC
RNAcentral lists this ribosomal RNA (92 nucleotides) under Motilimonas pumila. Lineage: Bacteria; Pseudomonadati; Pseudomonadota; Gammaproteobacteria; Alteromonadales. The record is from RNAcentral.